CAUCUCAUCAGGGUGACAAACAAAUGCUUUGGCUGAGGUGCUUGGGAUAGAGUUGUCCAAGCAAGCUGGAGAGUUUUGUUGGUCUGGAAAAGUCUGGAUGCUUCUCUAAGAGGAUACCAUGAAGCUGUGCUGCUGCUCCUCUUCCAAGGUACAGGUGGGACACGAUGGAAGGCUGGAACCUUUCUCUUGCCAGAUGGCAUCCUGAGUGGUUGCUCACCUCGGAGAAAGAGAGGAACUGGGGCACCUGAAGUAGACUGCCUGGAGGGCUCUGACAACAACGUGCUGGGACCAAAUGAAUAACCAUGCUGACACUGAGGGCUGUUAAACACCUCCAGCCACUGUCUGAAGGAACCAAAGAAGGCUAAAAAUCUAAGUUCCAGCUGCACUUCAAAAGCCAUUUCUCAAGAGGGAGUGUCAGCCAGAGGGUGGCCAAAAAGAAGGACCAGAAGCAAGACUGACUAAUAAAUACCAAACAGAAGUGACUGAAUGAAACCCAACAGCCAGAAAUAAUGUUUCUUUUGUGUGAGCUGAGAAUUCCUCCUUGUAAAUACUGCAACCAACAACCAGACAGAAGGCAAUGAGA
Molecule: long non-coding RNA, 583 nt
Organism: Pogoniulus pusillus (Red-fronted tinkerbird)
Lineage: Eukaryota; Metazoa; Chordata; Aves; Piciformes; Lybiidae
Exons: 4
Source: RefSeq, a predicted model, not a curated record